UGAAUUGACGGGGCCCGCACAAGCGGAGACAUGUGGUUUAAUUCGAUGAUACGCGAGGAACCUUACCUGGGCUUAAAUGUAGAGUGCAUUUUUAGAGAUAGAAAUUCCCUUCGGGGCUUUCUGCAAGGUGCUGCAUGGUUGUCGUCAGCUCGUGCCGUGAGGUGUCGGGUUAAGUCCCAUAACGAGCGCAACCCUUAUCGUUAGUUGCCAGCUGGUAAAGCAGGGGACUCUAGCGAAACUGCCACCGUAAGGUGAGAGGAAGGUGGGGAUGACGUCAAGUCCUCAUGGCCCUUAUGACCAGGGCUACACACGUGCUACAAUGGCCGGUACAAAGGGCAGCGAUACCGCGAGGUGGAGCAAAUCCCAGAAAGCCGGUCUCAGUUCGGAUUGGAGUCUGCAACUCGACUCCAUGAAGUCGGAAUCGCUAGUAAUCGCGGAUCAGCAUGCCGCGGUCGAAUACGUUCCCGGGCCUU
RNAcentral lists this ribosomal RNA (473 nucleotides) under uncultured Sphingobacteriales bacterium. RNAcentral's name for it is "bacterial SSU rRNA". It matches the Rfam family "Bacterial small subunit ribosomal RNA", at positions 907 to 1382 of the family's 1533-position model. Lineage: Bacteria; Pseudomonadati; Bacteroidota; Sphingobacteriia; Sphingobacteriales. The record is from RNAcentral.